This 555-nucleotide small RNA is filed under the name Pan troglodytes (chimpanzee). Its description in RNAcentral is "retained intron". Lineage: Eukaryota; Metazoa; Chordata; Mammalia; Primates; Hominidae. The record is from RNAcentral.
GCAGUCGCCGCUUCCGCCUUGACCAGGUGGAGCUGGAGACCUGGUCUCUCUAGGGCCUACCCUGAGCUCAGCAUCUGAAGGAGAGGGCCAUCAUCCUUAGGAACUCCUUCUCCAGACAUGCUUCCUGAGGCCGGCUCCCUGUGGCUACUGAAGCUGCUCCGGGGCAUCCAGUUGGCCCAGUUUUACUGGCCCAUCCUUGAGGAGCUUAAUGUCACUCGGCCAGAGCACUUCGACUUUGUAAAGCCUGAGGACCUGGACGGCAUUGGCAUGGGCCGGCCUGGUGAGGGACCCCUGCCCCGAGGCCCUGGUCUCUCUGUCCACAGCCUAUCAGUUGCCUUUCCCCACCACAACCCUCUUCCAGCCCUUUUCUUCCCUGUAAGUCUCUCUGCACUCUUCCCCACACCCACCUCCACCCCAGCCCUGAUUCUGGCCUCCCACAGCCCAGCGCAGACUGUCCGAAGCUCUGAAAAGGCUACGUUCUGGGCCUAAGUCUAAGAACUGGGUCUACAAGAUCCUUGGAGGUUUUGGCCCUGAGCACAAGGAGCCCACCCUGCC